AAAUAAAGCGAUACAAAAUUGCAUUCAGUUUCGGCCUGAAUUUAGAAAUAAUUCUAUUUU
RNAcentral lists this transfer RNA (60 nucleotides) under Dermacentor auratus. Its description in RNAcentral is "tRNA-Arg". Lineage: Eukaryota; Metazoa; Arthropoda; Arachnida; Ixodida; Ixodidae. The record is from RNAcentral.